Molecule: long non-coding RNA, 1146 nt
Organism: Toxorhynchites rutilus septentrionalis
Lineage: Eukaryota; Metazoa; Arthropoda; Insecta; Diptera; Culicidae
Exons: 3
Source: RefSeq, a predicted model, not a curated record
UCAACCGUCGAGCAAGUAGCAAGUGCAAAGUGCAAAUCCAGAGCAAAUAGCAAGAGUAACAACUUAUUGCAAAAUUAUAGGUUCGAUACAGCUUGCAAGAAACUGUUGUUGUUGGCGCUCAGCCAAAACUAACUGCGUACUAAACUUUGAUCUACGUGAUCAAAAGUACGAAAGACCGUGAACGGGAAAUUCACAGAACGAGCAAACAUUGAAACACUAAACAAAAACGCGCAUAUGCACUACGGUUGUCUUUCUGGAGAGAAAACAAUGUAUACAAGCGACGAAUACUAAAGUGACUCAAAAGUUUCUUGUUUUAUCCACGCUGAGUGUGGAAUCAUUUGCAGAGUGAUCGUGUCGAAGAACAGACCUGUGUUUUAAAUAUUCAUAAUGGACAGAAUUUCAUUACCAACCCAAGAAGUUAUCAAUGUUCCCAAACUCGAGGAAGACAUUGGAGACAAACUAAUUCGGAAGGCCCGAGAAUCUCCUUUUGUGCCACUCGGUUUCGCGGGAUUGGCGCUCGUUAUCGGAAUCGGAGCUUACCGGUUUAAGAACCGUGGUGUGAUGUCCCCAUCCGUGUUUUUGAUGCAGUAUCGAGUAGCGGCACAGGGUGCGUUGGUGGGCGCCUUGACGCUAGGGCUAGGUGCAGCAAUGGCCAACGAGUAUCUUUUCGACAAAACUGGGGAGCAGUAACGAAAAUUAUUGGUAAAAGUGUUCGCGAUAAUAUUCACUGAAUGUCUCAGCUUCCCUUCAACCGACAACUCGUACAUGGAGCAACAAGCGAACACAUUCAAUGUCGAAUGAUAAAGUGAUAGUUGCCGAAUUAAAUUAGUUACUGUGAUGAUGGACUAAAUUCGUGAACGUGUUUCACGGAAGUGAAGCUUGUGAAAAUGAAGGCGAAUGCAUCUUCCAUUACUCAGAGAGAGAAGUAAUUGUAUGCUUUUCAGUUGAAAUAUUCAAUAUUGAAUAAGCAACUGUAAGAGUAAAAACCAAAAAUCGAAACGAGUCAAAGUGAGCUCUUCAAUACUACAAAAAUGAUUCAAUUUCUGUACGAAUCAGGUAAACUCCGAUGUUGAAUAUUAUAAUUGGUAGUGCUAAGCUAGAAAUGUAUAAUAUGUAAAUCCUGUAAAAAUAAUAAAGUUAUACAUA